AAACAGUCCAGGGGCAGGGGGACAGUGGGGCCAGGAGAGCUCUUCCUGAGGGCCUUACCACAAUGGGAAGGGGGCACAGCUAGCUCACUUGCAAAAGCAGGUGACUUUUCUCUGGCCACAGUGAAAGUCGAGGCCCGCUCAGAUGGAAAAGAGACUGGAGCAUAUUGCAUUUGAGGGAUUUGAAGACAGAAAGACUACACCUUGGAUGCCUCUUCAUGAUGUGGGGCUUUGCUCUCGGGCUAAAGUCCAAAGGGAUGGAAACUGGAGAAGUUACAAAGAACAUGAUCUUGACUGCUGAGCAUUGUGGAGCAUGAGUGUGCCAUGUGGGUUCUGGGAAGCAAAUGUGGGAAGAAAGCUGCAGGGCCUGGAACCAGGUGGCUUUGGGCUCUGCCUGUCUGGGCCUCCUGGCUGCUACGGGCACUAUGUCAGCCCCAAAUAUCCUAGUACGGGUGGCUCAUCACUCUCAAAACAGCUGCUCCCCAGCCCCUGUCCCCUGCCUCUCCAGUCCCUGGUCCCUUCUCACUGUUUGUUCAGGUUUCCAUGCUGCCUCCUUGUUCCGAGGCAUCCUCUCUCUCUCCUUCUGUCAUGCAUCCUGUCCACGGGAACCUUGCACAGAAUCCUCCCAUAUUGGGUCAGUCCCAUACUUCUUGCCAUGGAUCGGGACUCAGACAAGUCAAACAUCAAAGGGGUGAGGGCACACUUGCUGAAGAGAAUAACUUCUUACCAGGGAUGGAUGGAUAGAAAGGAGUUGCUCAAGAGAGUGACGAGGGGAUCCUUUGGCAGGAGGAUAGACUCAGACUAGGAUCUGGGUCCACAGUAAGCUCAAUAAACUCUUGCAGAUUCAUUAAUUUUUCAGGGAUCACAACCAAGCAUUAACAGAAAAGCCUGCAUUUGGGUGAAAGUCUCUUUUAUUAUAUAUCCUAUUUUGUCUAAAAUUGAACUCAUUGCCUAAUGACUGAAGAAAUAAAGUAUGUCCCAGCCCUUAGGAAUGAAAUACCAGGCCGACAGGCAGAGAACUAGAGCCGAGACUGCUUCCUUCAUGGGCACGAGGAUCUCUAAUCCCAUCCCUCCUUAGAAGGCCAACUCAUGGCGCCUUCCACCAACCUGUACAUUCUUCCUGUGAAGGCACAGUGUUUUACUCUUCUCUCUGAUUACCUCCCAUGGGCUACCCAACAUAAAAGAUUUUGAUACCUCCCUUCUUUCCUUUUCCUAAAAUAUGCAGGAAUUAUGUAUUAUUCAUUUU
This is a long non-coding RNA of Lutra lutra (Eurasian river otter), 1243 nucleotides long. RefSeq lists it as uncharacterized. NCBI's taxonomy places the organism in Eukaryota, Metazoa, Chordata, Mammalia, Carnivora, Mustelidae. The record is from RefSeq and is a predicted model, not a curated record. The transcript has 4 exons.